UUAAAAUAUAUCAAGAAAUAAAGAUUUUCUCGUAUAUAUAUGAUCGGUUCCACAAAAGAUCGUAGACCAACGUUUUGGAAGAGGAAAAAGACCAAGCGUUCCAUCAUCGAUUUCGUUCGCUCCAUUUUCGUUCACGAGCGUUUCCCUUUUUCUCGUUACCCACCCUUUCUUUCGUUCAUUCCCGGCGAGCGAAAUGGGGAAUAUCGCGUUUUCUUGCCAACCUGGCCGGCGCGCAAGAUGAAAAUAAAGCAACGCGGAGGAACGGAGGAAAGGAAGAAUGAAAGGAACCGGCUACGCGGAAAAAUUGAAAGCACCAGACACCCUAUUUUUUUUUCUUUUUUUCUUCGCCGGCCAAGCAGAGCAACAGGGCGCUGAUAUUCCUCGUUGGUUUUACCGUAUUGGAAGUACGAAUAAACUGCGAAUAGCUGUUGCAUUAUCGGUUAUACGUGCGAGGCGAUAGACCGUGAUAGAUUCUUUUCCAAAGAGACAAUGGACAUCUUUACCGUCUAUUUAUCAAACAUUCCUCCACACUUGGAUCGCUAUCAAAAUUCACCCUGCACUUUAUCCCGCUGUUUGUUGAUUAACCCGUGAAAUGUCACGUUGUGGCGACCGGAGCGUUUCAAAGAGGAAUCUUUAUACAAUUUUUACAAGGCGAAUGAUUGAAGGUAAAAAAAAAAGAAAAAAAAGAGGGAGAUCGCGAAUAUAUAAUAAUAAUGAACGUUUUUUGAGCGCAAGAACGCCUCGGGUUACGGCAAAGGUCCCCUCUUAACACACUUAAUAAAUAUGUUUAUCGCUUCGCCGACUUCCGUCUAUCGGCUGAGUGGGUCCAGUGACGUCACUGCCGUUUUUCUAACGUCACGAUAAAACGGAAAACCGCAAGGAUGGCGGUAAAAUAACUGGCCAUAAUCGGAAUGGGCGAG
This is a long non-coding RNA of Apis dorsata (giant honeybee), 920 nucleotides long. RefSeq lists it as uncharacterized. The record is from RefSeq and is a predicted model, not a curated record. Lineage: Eukaryota; Metazoa; Arthropoda; Insecta; Hymenoptera; Apidae. The transcript has 2 exons.